This 371-nucleotide ribosomal RNA is filed under the name uncultured organism. RNAcentral's name for it is "bacterial SSU rRNA". It matches the Rfam family "Bacterial small subunit ribosomal RNA", at positions 527 to 896 of the family's 1533-position model. The record is from RNAcentral.
CGGGGGGGUAAGCGUUGUUCGGAAUUACUGGGCGUAAAGGGCUCGUAGGCGGCCAACUAAGUCGGACGUGAAAUCCCCCAGCUUAACUGGGGAACUGCGUCUGAUACUGGAUGGCUUGGAUUCGGGAGAGGAAUGCGGAAUUCCAGGUGUAGCGGUGAAAUGCGUAGAUAUCUGGAGGAACACCGGUGGCGAAGGCGGCAUUCUGGACCGACAUUGACGCUGAGGAGCGAAAGCCAGGGGAGCAAACGGGAUUAGAUACCCCGGUAGUCCUGGCCCUAAACGAUGAAUGCUUGGUGUGGCGGGUAUCGAUCCCUGCCGUGCCGAAGCUAACGCAUUAAGCAUUCCGCCUGGGGAGUACGGUCGCAAGGCUG